Long non-coding RNA from Ornithodoros turicata, 527 nucleotides. RefSeq lists it as uncharacterized. Lineage: Eukaryota; Metazoa; Arthropoda; Arachnida; Ixodida; Argasidae. The transcript has 3 exons. The record is from RefSeq and is a predicted model, not a curated record.
GGACACCAUAGUGACUGACCGCCACACUGCAAUAAAGUCUGUGUUAAGGGAAUUGUGUCCACACAUCAAACACCGUUUUGACGUGUGGCACGUUGCGAAAGGGAUCAAGAAAAAGCUUGUGUCUCUCAGCCGCUCCACAAAGCACCACGUUGUGAAGUUCUGGAUAGAGAGCCUUAUCCGACACAUAUACUGGUGUCCAAAGUACAGUGGGGAAAGUGGUGACCUUUGUCUGGCGAAGUGGGUAUCGGCAGUGAACCACAUUGUCGAUGUCCAUGAACAUGACAACCCACUGUACCCAGUUUGUUAUCAUGGCCCAGUUUCAGAACCACGAGAAUGGCUCAAAGAAGAUAGUGAGACGUACGCAAAGGUCAAGGACAUCUUGACAGCACCCGCACUGCUCAGGGAUGUCCCUAUGCUUUCUGCAAAACAACAGACAUAUGGCCUGGAGUCAUACCACAGUGUCCUGAACCACUUUGUUCCGAAAUCCUAUUCGUUUUCUGAUGAGGGGAUGGUGGCCAGGUAUUAAA